This 253-nucleotide ribosomal RNA is filed under the name uncultured bacterium. RNAcentral's name for it is "partial 16S ribosomal RNA". It matches the Rfam family "Bacterial small subunit ribosomal RNA", at positions 524 to 776 of the family's 1533-position model. The record is from RNAcentral.
UACGGGGGGAGCAAGCGUUGUUCGGAUUUACUGGGCGUAAAGGGCGCGUAGGCGGCCUUCUAAGUCAGGCGUGAAAGCCCCGGGCUCAACCUGGGAACCGCGCUUGAGACUGGAGAACUAGAGUUCGGGAGAGGAUGGUGGAAUUCCCAGUGUAGAGGUGAAAUUCGUAGAUAUUGGGAAGAACACCGAUGGCGAAGGCAGCCAUCUGGACCGACACUGACGCUGAGGCGCGAAAGCGUGGGGAGCAAACAGG